UAAGGAAUAUUGGUCAAUGGGCGGAAGCCUGAACCAGCCAUGCCGCGUGCGGGAAGAAGGCCCUACGGGUUGUAAACCGCUUUUCCCCGGGAAGAAUAACCCCGACGCGUCGGGGGAUGCCGGUACCGGGGGAAUAAGGAUCGGCUAACUCCGUGCCAGCAGCCGCGGUAAUACGGAGGAUCCGAGCGUUAUCCGGAUUUACUGGGUUUAAAGGGUGCGUAGGCGGCCCUGCAAGUCAGCGGUGAAAUGUGGCGGCUCAACCGUUUCGCUUCCGCUGAUACUGUAGGGCUUGGAUGCGGUCGAGGCGGGUGGAAUUCGUGGUGUAGCGGUGAAAUGCAUAGAUAUCACGAGGAACGCCGAUAGCGAAGGCAGCUCGCCGGGCCGCGAUCGACGCUGAGGCACGAAAGCGUGGGGAUCAAACA
This 422-nucleotide ribosomal RNA is filed under the name uncultured bacterium. RNAcentral's name for it is "bacterial SSU rRNA". It matches the Rfam family "Bacterial small subunit ribosomal RNA", at positions 355 to 774 of the family's 1533-position model. The record is from RNAcentral.